This 497-nucleotide ribosomal RNA is filed under the name uncultured bacterium. Its description in RNAcentral is "partial 16S ribosomal RNA". It matches the Rfam family "Bacterial small subunit ribosomal RNA", at positions 28 to 507 of the family's 1533-position model. The record is from RNAcentral.
GACGAACGCUGGCGGCGUGCCUAAUACAUGCAAGUUGAGCGCUGAAGGUUGGUACUUGUACCGACUGGAUGAGCAGCGAACGGGUGAGUAACGCGUGGGGAAUCUGCCUUUGAGCGGGGGACAACAUUUGGAAACGAAUGCUAAUACCGCAUAAAAACUUUAAACACAAGUUUUAAGUUUGAAAGAUGCAAUAGCAUCACUCAAAGAUGAUCCCGCGUUGUAUUAGCUAGUUGGUGAGGUAAAGGCUCACCAAGGCGAUGAUACAUAGCCGACCUGAGAGGGUGAUCGGCCACAUUGGGACUGAGACACGGCCCAAACUCCUACGGGAGGCAGCAGUAGGGAAUCUUCGGCAAUGGACGAAAGUCUGACCGAGCAACGCCGCGUGAGUGAAGAAGGUUUUCGGAUCGUAAAACUCUGUUGGUAGAGAAGAACGUUGGUGAGAGUGGAAAGCUCAUCAAGUGACGGUAACUCCCCAGAAAGGGACGGCUAACUACGUG